GUCUCUUCGAAGAUAUUUGAUAAAAUUGGAGCAAUACAGAAAAGAUUAGCAUGGCCCCUGUGCAAGGAUGACAUGCACAAAUAUCGAGAAAUAGUCCAAACUUUU
Macadamia integrifolia is the source of this 105-nucleotide small nuclear RNA. Lineage: Eukaryota; Viridiplantae; Streptophyta; Magnoliopsida; Proteales; Proteaceae. The record is from RefSeq and is a predicted model, not a curated record.